Molecule: ribosomal RNA, 253 nt
Filed under: uncultured bacterium
Lineage: Bacteria
Description: partial 16S ribosomal RNA
Rfam family: Bacterial small subunit ribosomal RNA
Source: RNAcentral
UACGGAGGAUCCAAGCGUUGUCCGGAUUUAUUGGGUUUAAAGGGUGCGUAGGCGGGUCUUUAAGUCAGGGGUGAAAUCCUGGAGCUCAACUCCAGAACUGCCUUUGAUACUGGGGAUCUCGAGUCCGGGAGAGGUGAGUGGAACUGCGAGUGUAGAGGUGAAAUUCGUAGAUAUUGGGAAGAACACCGAUGGCGAAGGCAGCCAUCUGGACCGACACUGACGCUGAGGCGCGAAAGCGUGGGGAGCAAACAGG